This is a small nuclear RNA of Ictidomys tridecemlineatus (thirteen-lined ground squirrel), 104 nucleotides long. NCBI's taxonomy places the organism in Eukaryota, Metazoa, Chordata, Mammalia, Rodentia, Sciuridae. The record is from Ensembl.
GUGCUUGCUUCAGCAAAACAUAUAUUAAAAUCAGAAUGAUACACAGAUUAGCAUGGCCCCUGUGCAAAGAUAACACAUAAAUUCUUGAAGCAUUUCAUAUUUUU